Molecule: long non-coding RNA, 1050 nt
Organism: Copidosoma floridanum
Lineage: Eukaryota; Metazoa; Arthropoda; Insecta; Hymenoptera; Encyrtidae
Source: RefSeq, a predicted model, not a curated record
AUAUUUAUAUUUGUUAGCUGCUCAUCGAUGACGAUGAUGGUGUCAAUCUUAAUCUCGUUGUAGAGAUAUCGUCGCCACCCCUGUUCCCAUAUUGUGCGUAUUUUUUUUUUUAUCCUCUCGAUCCGUAAUUCCGUCCUUUACUUCAAAGUCUUCAUAUUACCGAAUGUAGUAUAUAAUUCUACUUCAGUCAGCUUCAGUUCAGUUCACUUCACAAAAUAUGGUAAACAUAUUGUUAAACUUCGACUUAAGAGACUUGGUUGUGGCUUGAAGUUUAACAGUAGAGACGCAGACUCGGUUGAGGCGCUAUUUUGGUCUAAUUAUUAUUACGUUUAAUCUAUAGUGAAGAUGAUAAUUUUCUUGCACGAAGGAAAACUUUAUAACCGUAAGAUUAUUAAGAACAAGGGAAAAGAAGUGCAGAAAUUUUAUGGACAAGAGAACUAAUCCCAGCAGGGUGCUAAAGUGUCGAGUCGCCAAGUAAGACUGACUGGAGCUUUCUUUUUCUGCAUGAUUUCGAUUAUCUCUUUGUACAAAGAAGAAAACCAAUAACAGAUUUAUGGCCUUUCUAAGCUAUAAGUCACUAAUUUAUUUAUCAGCCGUGAAAUCGAUCAUCUGGCAAUGAUACAGCUGAAGUUAUAGCUACAAAAGAGAAAUCUCUUUACUUUGGUAUUAUGAUCACACCUAAGGAGUAUGAAACUUACUUGACAUAUAUACUGCUAUAAGAAUUACAGGCUGAUAAAGAACGUAUUGAGAGCUUUGUACAACAGUAGAUUAUGCAUGUUUUAUGCCUUAGAUAAAGCAUAUGGCUGAAUCAUACACUUGAGUACUACUAGCCAAAUAUUAUCUAGGUUUUAGGUCAAAACUGUUUUUCCAUGAGCUUUCACUUUUGCUACUUACUGUUGAUAAAUUAUUGUUUCCAAGGAUUAUGAUGCGCUUCUAGUCAAACUUUGCUCUGAACACAGCAAUUAGUAUCUUGGAAAAGAGCAUUGAUGGAUUGUAUUAAAAACUAAUGCAACUUAUGAUGCUUAAGAAUCAAGUUAUUUUUAAGUCAAA